RNAcentral lists this ribosomal RNA (207 nucleotides) under uncultured bacterium. Its description in RNAcentral is "partial 16S ribosomal RNA". It matches the Rfam family "Bacterial small subunit ribosomal RNA", at positions 568 to 774 of the family's 1533-position model. The record is from RNAcentral.
CGCGUAGGUGGUUAGUUAAGUUGGAUGUGAAAUCCCCGGGCUCAACCUGGGAACUGCAUUCAAAACUGACUGACUAGAGUAUGGUAGAGGGUGGUGGAAUUUCCUGUGUAGCGGUGAAAUGCGUAGAUAUAGGAAGGAACACCAGUGGCGAAGGCGACCACCUGGACUGAUACUGACACUGAGGUGCGAAAGCGUGGGGAGCAAACA